RNAcentral lists this non-coding RNA (183 nucleotides) under Geotalea daltonii FRC-32. Its description in RNAcentral is "Geobacter daltonii FRC-32 6S RNA, stationary phase repressor of sigma-70-containing RNA polymerase activity". It matches the Rfam family "6S / SsrS RNA". Rfam says of the family: E. coli 6S RNA was the first non coding RNA to be sequenced, but its function was unknown until recently. It consists of 184 nucleotides that fold into an extended hairpin structure with a large single-stranded internal bulge. Lineage: Bacteria; Pseudomonadati; Thermodesulfobacteriota; Desulfuromonadia; Geobacterales; Geobacteraceae. The record is from RNAcentral.
GGAUCUCUCGGAUAUACGCAGAAAUAUUUUGAGGAACCUGUCGAUAUUUAACUUGAUGAUUUUCCCAGUACAGACGUGGUGUGCAAGCCCUCCUUUGGAGAAGGAAGCCUUAAGCGUUUUCUGGGGAAAUGCUGAACACAAAGGGCAGAGAAUUCAAAAUUUAUGCGGUAUUCGGGAGCAGCU